Molecule: non-coding RNA, 106 nt
Filed under: chicken gut metagenome
Description: FMN riboswitch (RFN element)
Rfam family: FMN riboswitch aptamer (RFN element)
About the family: The RFN element is a highly conserved domain that is found frequently in the 5'-untranslated regions of prokaryotic mRNAs that encode for flavin mononucleotide (FMN) biosynthesis and transport proteins. This element is a metabolite-dependent riboswitch that directly binds FMN in the absence of proteins.
Source: RNAcentral
UUCUUCGGGGCGGGGUGCAAUUCCCCACCGGCGGUAUAGUCCGCGAGCCUCAGGGCUGAUUUGGUGCGAUUCCAAAACCGACAGUAUAGUCUGGAUGAGAGAAGAA